GCUGGUUUGGCUCAGUGGGUAGAGUGUCGGUCUGCGAACCGAAGGGUCCUGGGUUCGAUUCCUGUCAAUGGCA
This 73-nucleotide transfer RNA is filed under the name Myotis brandtii (Brandt's bat). It matches the Rfam family "tRNA". Rfam says of the family: Transfer RNA (tRNA) molecules are approximately 80 nucleotides in length. Their secondary structure includes four short double-helical elements and three loops (D, anti-codon, and T loops). The record is from Rfam by way of RNAcentral. Lineage: Eukaryota; Metazoa; Chordata; Mammalia; Chiroptera; Vespertilionidae.